AUUGAACGCUGGCGGCAUGCCUUACACAUGCAAGUCGAACGGCAGCACGGGAGCAAUCCUGGUGGCGAGUGGCGAACGGGUGAGUAAUAUAUCGGAACGUGCCCGGUCGUGGGGGAUAACGUAGCGAAAGCUACGCUAAUACCGCAUACGAUCUACGGAUGAAAGCGGGGGAUCGCAAGACCUCGCGCGAUUGGAGCGGCCGAUAUCAGAUUAGGUAGUUGGUGAGGUAAAGGCUCACCAAGCCGACGAUCUGUAGCUGGUCUGAGAGGACGACCAGCCACACUGGGACUGAGACACGGCCCAGACUCCUACGGGAGGCAGCAGUGGGGAAUUUUGGACAAUGGGCGCAAGCCUGAUCCAGCAAUGCCGCGUGCAGGAUGAAGGCCUUC
Molecule: ribosomal RNA, 389 nt
Filed under: uncultured bacterium
Lineage: Bacteria
Description: bacterial SSU rRNA
Rfam family: Bacterial small subunit ribosomal RNA
Source: RNAcentral